AUUGAAGGGGUGCUCGUCACAUGAUCGUACAUCUUGCUUUACAAUCCCUCCUUUUACCAAGAUCUCACUCAGGUCAUUAAGUAUGGUUUUGUCAUACUGUUCAAUGUUACGAUUGGGGAUGUUAUGUCAACAGCCUAAAGAGUCUCUCGUCUCUUCAAGCCACAGUUACGAACUUCUUGACAAAUUUCCUCCCUUCUGGAUUAGCUGGGUUCUUUUUUUUUGAUGAGUCAUUGAGAUACCAGUGGUUUGCAGGUGCACUUCUUAUAGUGAUUGGUGUGCUAAUUCUCAGCAAAUCAAGUAUCGAGAAGAAAAGUAGAGUUGAUUGAAAGUUCUCAGUUUAUGAGAGAUACCAUACGCCAUGCUUGAAGGUGACUUAUAAAUGAGAAGUUACAUUCUCGUGCCACUCUCAAGGAAGGAAAAAAAAGAAGUCGAGAAUUGAGGAUAGAAGAGUGUUUGCUUCCUGGCCGGUCAUUCCGCGUGAAUGAUCACUACUUGCUGUGACUGGCAGCACCAAGGUUGCUAUGUUGUUAAUGCCAGGAUUGCUAUGUUACUGUUAAUGGUGACUGUAAGAUAUAGCUACAAAGCAAGCUACAAAGAAGGCAGAUUUGUGUUUAGCGAUGGGAUCCUGUCCCACCUUUUUA
Molecule: long non-coding RNA, 641 nt
Organism: Eucalyptus grandis
Lineage: Eukaryota; Viridiplantae; Streptophyta; Magnoliopsida; Myrtales; Myrtaceae
Exons: 4
Source: RefSeq, a predicted model, not a curated record